GGCGUGAACGACAUCUCAGCAGCAGAGCAGCAGCAGAGCAGCAGCAGAGCAGAGCAGCAGCAGAGCGAUGGACGCGGGGUUCCUUCUUCAGCCGAAAGACCGUGGCAGUGGUCUACUUCAGGGAACUGCGAUUGUUUCAUCCUUGUUUACCUUUUCUUGCCGGUAAUGCCGCCCGAGAGGAACUCCAGCUCCCUCGACAGUGCCGUGGACGAGGCGGAGUCCACAGGUCCAGGCUACACGGCAGAUGGUGUCCAAACAGUUCGGCAGCACCUCCGUCAUCAUCGCGGACACACCGCUGGGCCUGAACUUGACGGUACGGACGCUUUCCAGCCAUAGCGACUCCGGGUCAGAAGACUUCCCCGUCGGCUUGGACGCUUGUCGGUCGUCCGGUUUCCAGUACUGCCUAAGCUCCUGGCUGACGUACAUUCCGAUGACAUCUUCCACUUGCGGGGACCCUUGACGAUGUCGGAGGGAAAGGUGUCGUCGCUCAUAGCCCCCGUUAGACGUGCAGACUCACUCUUCUGCUGUGACGACGGAACCUGAAGCUUGGUAAGCCGGACGCGGAAAAGAAAUAUGGAUCUUGACGAUUGUGCCUGGCAGCGAGCGGACAACUUACGACGGGAACAGCGGUGUAUCCAAAUAACAAUAAACUUGGUUGCUUUUUCGAAAUUCUGUUUGCCAAAUAAACAUGCUGUUGAUUAACCUG
Molecule: long non-coding RNA, 706 nt
Organism: Ornithodoros turicata
Lineage: Eukaryota; Metazoa; Arthropoda; Arachnida; Ixodida; Argasidae
Exons: 2
Source: RefSeq, a predicted model, not a curated record